CAAGUCGUGGGGCAGCAUGUCCCGUAGCAAUACGGGAUGAUGGCGACCGGCAAACGGGUGCGGAACACGUACACAACCUUCCUUUUAGUGGGGAAUAGCCCGGGGAAACCCGGAUUAAUACCCCGUAAUAUAAUAGAGUGGCAUCACUUUAUUAUUAUAGCAGCAAUGCGCUUAAAGAUGGGUGUGCGACUGAUUAGGCAGUUGGCGGGGUAACGGCCCACCAAACCUACGAUCAGUAACUGGUGUGAGAGCACGACCAGUCACACGGGCACUGAGACACGGGCCCGACUCCUACGGGAGGCAGCAGUAAGGAAUAUUGGUCAAUGGACGCAAGUCUGAACCAGCCAUGCCGCGUGGAGGAUGAAGGUCCUCUGGAUUGUAAACUUCUUUUAUCUGGGAAGAAAUCCACGAAUUCUUUUGUGGUUGACGGUACCAGAUGAAUAAGCACCGGCUAACUCCGUGCCAGCAGCCGCGGUAAUACGGAGGGUGCAAGCGUUAUCCGGAUUCACUGGGUUUAAAGGGUGCGUAGGUGGGCAGGUAAGUCAGUGGUGAAAUCUCCGGGCUUAACUCGGAAACUGCCAUUGAUACUAUCUGUCUUGAAUACCGUGGAGGUCAGCGGAAUAUGUCAUGUAGCGGUGAAAUGCUUAGAUAUGACAUAGAACACCAAUUGCGAAGGCAGCUGGCUACACGAAUAUUGACACUGAUGCACGAAAGCGUGGGGAUCAAACAGGAUUAGAUACCCUGGUAGUCCACGCCCUAAACGAUGGAUACUCGACAUACGCGAUAUACUGUGUGUGUCUGAGCGAAAGCAUUAAGUAUCCCACCUGGGAAGUACGAUCGCAAGAUUGAAACUCAAAGGAAUUGGCGGGGGUC
This 873-nucleotide ribosomal RNA is filed under the name uncultured Flavobacteriales bacterium. RNAcentral's name for it is "bacterial SSU rRNA". It matches the Rfam family "Bacterial small subunit ribosomal RNA", at positions 58 to 921 of the family's 1533-position model. Lineage: Bacteria; Pseudomonadati; Bacteroidota; Flavobacteriia; Flavobacteriales. The record is from RNAcentral.